AAUAUUCUUAAAUGAAAACGGAAGUCGGAUUACUUGCUAUAGACAUUGUGUUUCACAUUAACUCAGAAUUUGUUCGUUACACAUCAAGUAGCAGUAAUCGGAAUUCAAGCAGAUUCACAAAAUCAAACAGAAGUUUAACAAUUUUUAAUCAUUCGAUGAAGGUGUAAUACAAAGGAGUCGAGAACUCACCUAAUCGAACAGCAACAAAACGACUGAAACAGGCCAAAUGAAGAGCCGAAAACAGUUGCGAUAGUGGGAGCUCGAUCAAUUCCUCAGCAGUCAACAGCAGCGUGAAGACAGGAUUUCUGAUCUCAAAACACUACUUGGAAACACAGAAGAUUGAAGCAAGUAGCAGUAGUUCCAAGCAAUUGCUGAGAAUUUUUCUUUUAAACCUAUUUUUCUCUAUUUUUUUAGCAAACAUUUUGUCUCCAAACUUUGAAGAAUGCGAGAAUCUCGAAGUUAUGAAUCUUCGAGCUGUUUUUUUUUGUUUACAAUUUUGACUAUUUCUUCUUUUUGGUCUUGCUAAUGGCUGAAUCUGGUUCGUUGUGGUUGUUUGAAGAAGACGGAGGUGGGACCGUUGGUGAAUGUCGGAUUUCUGGUGAUUUGGUGGCUGGAGGGUGAAGCCCGAAGCUAUGGUUGUUGAUUUGGAGAGGGGAUCGAAGGGUCUCCCCUCGUUUGUGAAGAAGAAGACGGUAGGGGUCUAAGUGUUUGGAGAAGGUGAAAACCAUUGUUCAAUUUUUGGGGUCUGAUCUCUAUAUGUGUGGGAGAUCUCCCUGAGAAUGGAGAAGAAGGAGAGAAGAAAUAGCUGGAAUCCGAGAAAUGGGAAAGGGUCACGCUAUUUUUGUGUCUCUAAUUUGGAGAGCUAUAUUUUUUUUUGUUUACAAUUUUGACUAUUUCUUCUUUUUGGUCUUGCUAAUGGCUGAAUCUGGUUCGUUGUGGUUGUUUGAAGAAGACGGAGGUGGGACCGUUGGUGAAUGUCGGAUUUCUGGUGAUUUGGUGGCUG
Molecule: long non-coding RNA, 1003 nt
Filed under: Nicotiana benthamiana
Lineage: Eukaryota; Viridiplantae; Streptophyta; Magnoliopsida; Solanales; Solanaceae
Description: long non-coding RNA (NBEN_LNC030751)
Source: RNAcentral